Molecule: long non-coding RNA, 794 nt
Organism: Pomacea canaliculata
Lineage: Eukaryota; Metazoa; Mollusca; Gastropoda; Architaenioglossa; Ampullariidae
Exons: 4
Source: RefSeq, a predicted model, not a curated record
AUUAUAUUAUAUACACCUAAUAGAAAAUGCACGAUCAAUAAAAACAAAAGAAAUUGUAAACAAGUUAUUUAGGUUGAUAUAGGCCAGUGUCCAAUUAAAAUGAAAUGCAGUAUUUUGAUUAAAGAAAUAACAUUUAGAAAAGACAUUUAAUUUGUCAAAGUUUCUUAUAUAGUCUUUUCCUAUUUAUUUGCUAGGUUUUGAUGAUCAAAGAUAAUGUUUUCAACUUAACAGCUGUACCACAUUAUCAAGCUAUUCAAGAUGGAAAGAAGUCUGCAGCCAUCAUGCCCAAUGAAUGGCUAAACCCAGAGAGCACCAACAGAUAUUUCUGGCCUACCUCUAAAGCAGACUCCACCUGGCUAAACAACACAAAAAAGCAAGGUCCGAACUGGAACAUUUUCACUACCAGAGGAUCAUUAAAAGCACAUGGGCCUCAAUCACAUUUUCUGAAUUGACACCAGCAGCAUCUUCAGCAGCUGCUACUGACAGCCACCGUCAGACGGUCUGUUCCUGCAUCACCAUCAUCAGCACCAGCAACAUCUGCUAGCGACUCAACACGGCACGACACCCUGUCGAAGACUGUCCCUCCAGGCAACUUGGAGGGUGGCCGGCAACUCGGUGGCCAGAGGAAGAACUGACUAACGAACCUCUGAGUUUCUCUCUUCCCGUGUAUCAAAGUCACGUGUUUGUAGAGGAAACCAGUAGAAGUGAGAUAAACAUAAAGACCAGUACAACAACUGCACACCUCAUUAAACUUCAGCAAAGGACGGGCUUGGUUGUACAGGUUACAGAAAUAU